GGGGAAUAUUGCACAAUGGGCGCAAGCCUGAUGCAGCCAUGCCGCGUGUAUGAAGAAGGCCUUCGGGUUGUAAAGUACUUUCAGCGAGGAGGAAGGCAUUAAGGUUAAUAACCUUAGUGAUUGACGUUACUCGCAGAAGAAGCACCGGCUAACUCCGUGCCAGCAGCCGCGGUAAUACGGAGGGUGCAAGCGUUAAUCGGAAUUACUGGGCGUAAAGCGCACGCAGGCGGUCUGUUAAGUCAGAUGUGAAAUCCCCGGGCUCAACCUGGGAACUGCAU
This 278-nucleotide ribosomal RNA is filed under the name uncultured bacterium. RNAcentral describes it as "partial 16S ribosomal RNA". It matches the Rfam family "Bacterial small subunit ribosomal RNA", at positions 356 to 626 of the family's 1533-position model. The record is from RNAcentral.